AUUGGUAAGCUACACUGUUCUUUAGUCUUUGUGGGCGACAUUGAUAUUCUGUUUGUUAUUGAUACUAACUUUAUUAGUUUUUGUCUUGUAACGAGAUGCAUAUGGUACUUUUACGGCAAAGUCGACGGAACUGGGUAAGCUGCACUGUUCUUUAGUCUUUUGGUUUUGGAAUGGAGUUCUACAGUUUGUCAGCUCAACAUUGAUAUUGUGUUUUUUUUUCUAUGACGAGAUGCAUCCAACUUGUUCCUAUAAAACUGGUAAGCUGCACUAUUCUUUAGGCUUUUGUUUUGGAAUGGAGUUUGCCUCAGCUGUAUUGAGGAUUCUUCUGUAAUUCGCUGAUGUGAUUGUGAAUUUCUUAUUGGGAUUUUUUCAGACUUCCAAGGGAGGCUUUCUGAGUUGGAAUUUCAGGUAUGCCAUUGUUCUGUAAUGAAGCUAUGGACAUGGUUUGCAGCAGAUGUGUCCAGUUUGUGGUCUGAAUGAAGCUAUGGACAUGGUUGACCAUAUAACAUCACAGCACGGAGGCAUGUUUUAAGAUAUCCUUGGCAGUCGGCACCAUUCUGUAUUCUAUUAUGUUGGCCCUGAUGUGUACUUGUAUGGAUGAUGAUAUUGCUCAAGGAGCGGAGGAUUGAGUUUAGUUUGUACUUUGUACAGAUGGAGUUUUGAUGUUCAGCAAUGACUCGUGAGCUCUCAUUCUGGAGAAUAACGGAUGAAGAAUUUGCAGCUUCUAGUUCAACAAAUGAAAA
Molecule: long non-coding RNA, 743 nt
Filed under: Linum usitatissimum (flax)
Lineage: Eukaryota; Viridiplantae; Streptophyta; Magnoliopsida; Malpighiales; Linaceae
Description: long non-coding RNA (LUSI_LNC005982)
Source: RNAcentral